Molecule: transfer RNA, 75 nt
Filed under: Elioraea tepidiphila
Lineage: Bacteria; Pseudomonadati; Pseudomonadota; Alphaproteobacteria; Acetobacterales; Elioraeaceae
Also listed under: 1 other name
Description: tRNA-Thr
Rfam family: tRNA
About the family: Transfer RNA (tRNA) molecules are approximately 80 nucleotides in length. Their secondary structure includes four short double-helical elements and three loops (D, anti-codon, and T loops).
Source: RNAcentral
GCCGGCAUAGCUCAGCGGUAGAGCAACUGAUUCGUAAUCAGUAGGUCCGCGGUUCAAAUCCGCGUGCCGGCACCA